This 429-nucleotide ribosomal RNA is filed under the name Pseudomonadota bacterium. Its description in RNAcentral is "Proteobacteria bacterium partial 16S ribosomal RNA". It matches the Rfam family "Bacterial small subunit ribosomal RNA", at positions 355 to 776 of the family's 1533-position model. The record is from RNAcentral. Lineage: Bacteria; Pseudomonadati; Pseudomonadota.
UGGGGAAUAUUGGACAAUGGGCGAAAGCCUGAUCCAGCCAUGCCGCGUGUGUGAAGAAGGUCUUCGGAUUGUAAAGCACUUUAAGUUGGGAGGAAGGGCAGUAAGCGAAUACCUUGCUGUUUUGACGUUACCGACAGAAUAAGCACCGGCUAACUCUGUGCCAGCAGCCGCGGUAAUACAGAGGGUGCAAGCGUCAAUCGGAAUUACUGGGCGUAAAGCGCGCGUAGGUGGUUCGUUAAGUUGAAUGUGAAAGCCCCGGGCUCAACCUGGGAACUGCAUCAAAAACUGGCGAGCUAGAGUAGGGCAGAGGGUGGUGGAAUUUCCUGUGUAGCGGUGAAAUGCGUAGAUAUAGGAAGGAACACCAGUGGCGAAGGCGACCACCUGGGCUCAUACUGACACUGAGGUGCGAAAGAGUGGGGAGCAAACAGG